RNAcentral lists this non-coding RNA (78 nucleotides) under fish gut metagenome. Its description in RNAcentral is "Glycine riboswitch". It matches the Rfam family "Glycine riboswitch aptamer", at positions 12 to 83 of the family's 94-position model. From Rfam's summary of the family: This family represents the bacterial glycine riboswitch. Glycine riboswitches usually consist of two metabolite-binding aptamers domains with similar structures in tandem. The record is from RNAcentral.
UGGAGAGAGGCUGGCCACAGCCCACCGAAGGGGCACGCGGCAUCAGGCCGUAAACUCUCAGGUAAAAGAACAAGGGGA